Molecule: ribosomal RNA, 483 nt
Filed under: uncultured bacterium
Lineage: Bacteria
Description: partial 16S ribosomal RNA
Source: RNAcentral
GUAGUUAGCCGGUGCUUUCUUGUUGGGUACCGUCAUUAUCGUCCCCAACGACAGGAGUUUACAAUCCGAAAACCUUCUUCCUCCACGCGGCGUCGCUGCAUCAGGGUUUCCCCCAUUGUGCAAUAUUCCCCACUGCUGCCUCCCGUAGGAGUCUGGACCGUGUCUCAGUUCCAGUGUGGCCGAUCAGCCUCUCAGCUCGGCUACCCAUCGUUGGCUAGGUGGGCCGUUACCCCGCCUACUACCUAAUGGGACGCGAACCCCUCCUUCUGCGGAUUGCUCCUUUGACCCCUGAGCCAUGCGACUCUGUGGUCUUAUGCGGUAUUAGCACUUGUUUCCAGGUGUUAUCCCCCUCAAAAGGGCAGGUUGUUCACGCGUUACUCACCCGUUCGCCACUAGCUAUAAAUCCGAAAACCUAUAGCCCGUUCGACUUGCAUGUGUUAGGCACGCCGCCAGCGUUCGUCCUGAGCCAUGAUCAAACUCUGA